ACUCCUGCGGGAGGCAGCAGUGGGGAAUAUUGGACAAUGGGCGCAAGCCUGAUCCAGCCAUGCCGCGUGAGUGAUGAAGGCCCUAGGGUUGUAAAGCUCUUUCACCGGUGAAGAUAAUGACGGUAACCGGAGAAGAAGCCCCGACUAACUUCGUGCCAGCAGCCGCGGUAAUACGAAGGGGGCUAGCGUUGUUCGGAUUUACUGGGCGUAAAGCGCACGUAGGCGGACUAUUAAGUCAGGGGUGAAAUCCCGGGGCUCAACCCCGGAACUGCCUUUGAUACUGGUAGUCUUGAGUUCGAGAGAGGUGAGUGGAAUUCCGAGUGUAGAGGUGAAAUUCGUAGAUAUUCGGAGGAACACCAGUGGCGAAGGCGGCUCACUGGCUCGAUACUGACGCUGAGGUGCGAAAGCGUGGGGAGCAAACAGGAUUAGAUACCCCGGUAGUCCCA
RNAcentral lists this ribosomal RNA (446 nucleotides) under uncultured organism. Its description in RNAcentral is "partial 16S ribosomal RNA". It matches the Rfam family "Bacterial small subunit ribosomal RNA", at positions 335 to 797 of the family's 1533-position model. The record is from RNAcentral.